UGCAUCGGCCGGGAAUCAAACCCGCAGGAGAGCAUUCUACCACUGAACCACCGAUGG
This 57-nucleotide transfer RNA is filed under the name Cordylochernes scorpioides. Its description in RNAcentral is "tRNA-Ser". Lineage: Eukaryota; Metazoa; Arthropoda; Arachnida; Pseudoscorpiones; Chernetidae. The record is from RNAcentral.